CAUGCAGUCGAACGGUGAAGGCGGAGCUUGCUCUGCUGGAUCAGUGGCGAACGGGUGAGUAACACGUGAGCAAUCUGCCUCUGACUCUGGGAUAAGCGCUGGAAACGGCGUCUAAUACUGGAUACGAGCUGCGAAGGCAUCUUCAGCAGCUGGAAAGAACUUCGGUCAGGGAUGAGCUCGCGGCCUAUCAGCUUGUUGGUGAGGUAAUGGCUCACCAAGGCGUCGACGGGUAGCCGGCCUGAGAGGGUGACCGGCCACACUGGGACUGAGACACGGCCCAGACUCCUACGGGAGGCAGCAGUGGGGAAUAUUGCACAAUGGGCGAAAGCCUGAUGCAGCAACGCCGCGUGAGGGAUGACGGCCUUCGGGUUGUAAACCUCUUUUAGCAGGGAAGAAGCGAAAGUGACGGUACCUGCAGAAAAAGCGCCGGCUAACUACGUGCCAGCAGCCGCGGUAAUACGUAGGGCGCAAGCGUUAUCCGGAAUUAUUGGGCGUAAAGAGCUCGUAGGCGGUUUGUCGCGUCUGCUGUGAAAUCCCGAGGCUCAACCUCGGGCCUGCAGUGGGUACGGGCAGACUAGAGUGCGGUAGAGGAGAUUGGAAUUCCUGGUGUAGCGGUGGAAUGCGCAGAUAUCAGGAGGAACACCGAUGGCGAAGGCAGAUCUCUGGGCCGUAACUGACGCUGAGGAGCGAAAGGGUGGGGAGCAAACAGGCUUAGAUACCCUGGUAGUCCACCCCGUAAACGUUGGGAACUAGUUGUGGGGUCCAUUCCACGGAUUCCGUGACGCAGCUAACGCAUUAAGUUCCCCGCCUGGGGAGUACGGCCGCAAGGCUAAAACUCAAAGGAAUUGACGGGGACCCGCACAAGCGGCGGAGCAUGCGGAUUAAUUCGAUGCAACGCGAAGAACCUUACCAAGGCUUGACAUAUACGAGAACGGGGCCAGAAAUG
This 946-nucleotide ribosomal RNA is filed under the name Microbacterium sp. RNAcentral's name for it is "bacterial SSU rRNA". It matches the Rfam family "Bacterial small subunit ribosomal RNA", at positions 54 to 1008 of the family's 1533-position model. Lineage: Bacteria; Bacillati; Actinomycetota; Actinomycetes; Micrococcales; Microbacteriaceae. The record is from RNAcentral.